CAGCCCUCGAGUCCUGUGGUGUUGCUAGUUAUUUUAAUUGAGUGACACACAAGGUGGGUAUGAAUGAAUUUUACAGCCAAUUAGGGCUAAGCAUGGAUUGUACAGGAAAGAGAGUCUUUUUAGUGCAAAUUUAUGGUCCACUCAAGACACAUAACUUAUGACAGGACUAGUAACCGCAGCUGAGCAGGCUUCUUUCCGGAGCCUCUUGUCCUCUAAACGGGUUUUUCUGGACACUUGCAGUAGGUAAGGAGGCUGUCGACUAUGGAACUGAGCGAAGACAGGUUCGGGGCUCACCCUUACCGAUCCGCUCCGCAAACCUCGGGAAUCCCUCUGCCUCUCUGUUCUGUUGUUCUUACCUAAACAAUAAGCUAUCGGCCUCAGCUGUCUCCGGGAAACUUUGAACUCUAAGAGGGCAGGUUUUACUUGUUCUCCUCGAAAUGCAUUUCAGACUGGGAGUGGAGUGUGGGAGCGGGAACAUUAAGUUAGAGCAGGCUGCAAACCCUCCACCUGGAAAUGUGUCUGCACUGCUGUCACCAGCCUGUCUGGGUCUCGGCUCUGUCCUUCCCUUGGUGUGUCCUGGGGUAGGCGUUGAAUGAGAAAACCAUGGUUGCAGAGGCAACACAUCCUUUCCUUGAACAGUGUGCACUUGAGGAACGAAUUAAGACCCGUAAACAAGGAUGAAAGCCCCCGCCCCGCAGACUUCAGCUCCUCCUCCAUGAAGGACGCCGCCUGGGAGGUGAGUCCAGGCCGGGCCAGGGAGGGCCUCCUGUGGGAAGGUGCAUUUUCACCUUACAGCCGGGAAGUAGACAGCUGCGUCACAGUUUCACUCAUGCCGGUCUCUUCCUGUGCACAUUCAAUGUUAACAUUAUUCUGGCAAAAGCCUUGCUGCAGAUAGUCUCUCCGGUCCCUCCUACAUCUCUUUCCAGAAGACAGUUUAAAAGGACACAUUUCAUCACCUCUCAGAAGGGGUUAACAUCACAGAAUUCCAAGUCUGAGGGUGGAGCCCUGAUCCUGAGAAGGUUUUGUUGAGUUCGGGACAGUAUUUCUUUACCCAUCCUUCAUGAAGAUAAAAAAUGAGGCAAAAUAGACACUAAAAUGGUCUCUGACAUCUCCUCAUGCCACCAGACAAGGAGUAACCAUGGUAACAAGAAGCCUAGAAAAAUUGGGGAAUGAGGAAGACCAGGAAUGAGAGCUCCCCUCAGCCCUGGGGGGACCUGAGUGUCCACAGCUGAGCCUUCUCUGCUUCCCUUUUCUCUUCUGGAUUCUGAUGGAGGAUAUUUUCAUCUUCCUCCCAAAAUCAUCAGAAAGCAUAAGGACAUAUAUAAACCGCUUUGCAAAAAGAGAGUGUAUGGAAUAAAAGAGAAAAUGAAGAAGAGGAGAAAGGCUGGAGUGCAAUGGUGUGAUCUCAGCUCACUGCAGCCUCAACCUCCCUGGCUCAGGUGAUUCUCCCACCUCAGCUUCCUGAUUAACUGGGAUUACAGUAAUGGUGAAAUUGCCGGUAAUCGCUAAGUAAAAACCACUGAAGAACAGGACAGAAGCCAAUGACCACCUCACCUCCACCGAGUGCCCUGCAGGAGCUGGGAGAUGGGAACAUCACUAGACCACGAGCCGGAAUUGCUGCAGGAGGAUUCCCACACUCUGGGCCUCCGUGGGCACCACGAGGACUGGACGUGCGACCCCAGCUCUCUGGGUCUCAGUUUCGUCUCCUGCAGAGCAUCUGAGCUAGACCGUCUCUAAAAUUUCAUCAAGCUCCUGUAUUCCAUUCUAUUCUGAGAUGCCCAAUUCUUAUGCCUGCUAAAAACCACAGUGAGAAAUAAUAACCUAUGUCCACAUUUUUGUUUCCUAGGAGAAAUAUCAACAUGCGUCUGCCAAAUAAAAUAUUGUAUUAAAUGAGUUAUUUCAAAAAGUAUUCUUUGACCACCUCAACAUGUGUUAAAAGGAAUGCCACAUGUUAAAAGGAAUGCCUCAUGUUACACGGAGUCCUUCUAGGGU
Molecule: long non-coding RNA, 1992 nt
Filed under: Homo sapiens (human)
Lineage: Eukaryota; Metazoa; Chordata; Mammalia; Primates; Hominidae
Description: HSALNT0157637
Source: RNAcentral